AUGUGCAGUUUCGUGGAGAUCUGGUUGUAUCUUGCAACUGACCAUUGCGGUGGCACUUUGAUGAACCAGCCUGGACACAGGAUAUUAUUUGAGAACACAAAAAUGCUGGACCAUUCCAACAACUAUCAUGUCAGACUACACAGAGAAGCCAUUGAAAUCCACACGCAUGUGGACAAUUUCAACAGAAAGGAAGAAACCAUGAAAAUGAACAAAAUCUGGCUACCAGUAUUACAAAACUCCAAAAUCAAAACAGUAGAUGGGAACCAAAACUCUGAGGGCUUGACUGACAAAGGAUGCCCCCAGGCAAGAGACAAAAACAUCUCCAAUGCUGAUUAGGAUGAUUAACUGAAACAUUAAUGCUGGCUCCCAGUGACAAAGGACCCUUGCCACACCCCAGACUCUACACAGAUAUAUAUAUUCUUUCCUUUCCUUACUUAGUUUAUCCAUACCUCACAACCUCUGAGGAUGCCUGCCAUAGAUGUGGGCGAAAUGUUAGGAGAGAAUGCUUCUGGAACAUGGCCACACAGCCCGAAAGACAUACAACAACCCUGUGAUCCCGGCCAUGAAAGCCUUCGACAUUUUAUAGUUAUAUUAUAAUGUAUAUCUAUUGUUAUUAAUUCACAUUGUUUUAUAUCAAUUGUUACCUUUUUUGAAUCCGAUAUCAGGAGAAAUGUGGGAUAAAAAGUAAAUAAAUAAACCAAUAAUUAAUAAUUUAGGCCCAGUCAGCAUUCCAAAUAGGCAGAGAUGAUAACCGCUGGAGCUCCGCAAUGACUAGAUUUUAAACUGGGGAGCAACAAUGUAAUAAAAUAUUAAAACAUCAUUAAGAAUACAGCUAAAAUCCUCAUCUUAAAUCCAAUCACUGUCAAAUUGAAUGAAAGUAGAACAACUGAACCAAUUGUUGAAUGGCAAGUCAACAGUUAUACUAAUUCAAUGCAUCUACAGUUGUUAGAAAUUAGCAAUAGGUUUAGGAUCAAAAAAUUCUUUUCAGAGAGUAUUUCCUAAUAAUUUCUAAAGCAUUUCCUAUCUGGUGGAUAAAAUAAGGAACAAUCACUACAUCCUAAAAACUUAUAACUAUCCCUAGAAAAUGGACAUUCCCUUUAAAUAAGGGACAUCUGGCAACCCUAACAUGGAAUUAGCAGUCCCUAAUGGACAGACUUCCUUCCUUUAGCAAAGCUAAAUAGAGAGUUGAAACCAUCCCUUGAUGAACUCUCCUGUUCUAGGUCAGAAAGAUUUAUAUAACCCAAGCUCUGACAUGAUUAGUCUCAUCUGGAUGAGCUCCUACAAAAUUAAAUUAACCCCACAUGAGCCAAACAGAGGAACAUUCCUUUCAACAACCCAGCAUUUGGUUACAAAAUGAGUCUUCCCCAAGAGCUAAUUUAUUAUGUACGAUUCCAUGUUCCCAAAAAUUACAAUCAAAACACUAAUGUGAGGGGUUACUCAAUUUCUUGGGGUAGGAAUUUAAGUACCACAUUCAAAUACCAUAUAAUCCCUAGGAACAGAAUUUUGUUUUAUCAUGUCGGAAGCAACUUGAGAACAUACUGCAAGUUGCUUCUGGUGUGAGAGAAUUGGCCAACUACAGAGACGUUACCCAGGGGACGCCUGAAUGUGUUAGCUGGGAGGCUUCUCUCAUGUCCCCUCAAGCUAGAGCUGACAGACGGGAGCUCAACCCGUCUCAUGGAUUUGAACUGUUGGGUCAGCAACCCAACCUUCAGGUCAGCAGUUUAGCUGACAGAAGAGUUUAACCCAUUGUGCCACUGCAGCUCCCAGAACAGAAAUUGAAAUAGCAAGAGAAAAAAAGGUUUUACUCUAUGACUAUCAAGGUCCCUUCAUGCAUGUUUCCUGAACCAGAAUGCAUAUAUUGAGACAAAGUUGGAACCCCACUGAAAUGUUAAUUAGGUUUUCUUAAAUUAUUUAUAUUCUACUUUUCUCCAAAGGUUGAGACAUUCCACAUGAUCAACAGACAUUUGCCAAAAGUCUAAGCAUGUAGGCUUUCAUUCUUCAAACAUUCACAAAGUGGGUGCAUGGAAAAGAAACCAAUCAAUUUUAAGGAGCUGUUGGCAAAGCCCUUUGGCUGAGUCAAUAAAUGGAUCUUUACCACACAGUUAAAUGAGUAGAAAUAUUUUGUGAUUAAUAUGCCAUCUGAUCGGAAGUAUAUUUGCCUAGAAACAAGUUUAAACAUAUUCAAUAAGGUUUAUUUUAAAGCAUGUAUAACAAUGCAAAUCUAUAGUUUUUGAGAUGUGCAUAAUGUGCUUUAACACCCCACAAACUUUUGAAGGAAAUUAAUAUUCCUAUUUCUAGAGAGAGGGGACUAUUGAAGAGUGAAUGAAGAGGCUGCACAAGGACUUGCGUUCCAUCUCAUCUAUAAGGUAAAGCUAAAGGUUUCCCCUGAUGUUAAGUCCAGUCAUGUCUGACUCUGGGGGUUGGUGCUCAUCUUCAUUUCUAAGCCGAAGAUCCGGCAUUGUCCGUAGACACCUCCAAGGUCAUGUGGCCUCCAUGACUGCAUGGAGCGCUGUUAUCUUCCUGCUGGAGCAGUACCUAUUGAUCUACUCACAUUGGCAUGUUUUCGAACUGCUAGGUUGGCAGGAGCUGGAGCUAACAGCAGCCGCUCACGCUGCUCCCGGGGUUUGAACCUGGGACCUUUCAGUCUGCAAGUUCAGCAGCUCAGCGCUUUAACACACUUCUCCACCGGGGCUCCUUAUCUCAUCUGUAGUUCACAACAUAUUGGUUUACAUUGCCCAUCACUUUGUGAUGAGAAUUUAGGAUAUCAAUGCAGAGGAGUUUUCUCCCUCUGUGUAGAGCAGUGGGCUCUUAGGAUUGAAUCUUUCUAGAUUGAUCCAUUCAAGAUAGAUAUUGCAAACUUGGAUAGGGCUGCAUUUGAUGGAACACCACCCAAAGUAUGUCUUCAUUCUUGGACUUUAUCCCCUCAUUUCCAGAUCUUAUCCCAGCUUUCUUAGAAAUAUUUAUAUAUCAGUUACAUAAAUAUAUGACAAAUAGAUCUAUCUUCCUUAUGUUGUGUAUAUGUGAGUUGUUCUCAUAAUUAUGUGCCUUCAAGCCAUUGGAUUCCUCUGAGGUAGAGAGAGCAUGAUUUGUUCAAUUUCACCCAAUGAGUCUCCAUCUACCAAACAAAUGAAGAAGCUAGUCAUUGAUUGAACAAUAUACCUUACUGCAUCAUCAGAAAAGUUCAUUUUUUUCUUUUGUGGUAUUGUAGAUUCUUCUGAAAGACAAGUAAUGGUUAUUUAUAAACAAACACAUAUAAAAAAACAAACAAACAUAUAAAGCCUGUUUUACAGAUAACUACUGUACUUAUUUUUGGGAUUGUGUUGAAUUUCUGUGAGUUGGAAUUUUAUGGCAUUGCUUCAACUUAACCCUCUCUCAGAAAUCUCUCGCUCUCAUAGUAUAUUAAAUACUAAGUUUAAUUUUUAAAAUGAAAAGGGAUCUAGGGGAGAUAUCUCAAAGGGACUAUAAGCUAGGCUGGAGGUAUCUCCCCUACAGGCAUUCAACUCCCCCUUCCAUCGGCAACUAGCCAGAGUUUAGUUUAGGUCAAAAGAAGACUGCUGAUCUGGAAAUAAUAGUACAUUCCAGAAAGGCCCAGCUGUC
RNAcentral lists this long non-coding RNA (3597 nucleotides) under Anolis carolinensis (green anole). RNAcentral describes it as "lncRNA (ENSACAG00000043996.1)". Lineage: Eukaryota; Metazoa; Chordata; Lepidosauria; Squamata; Anolidae. The record is from RNAcentral.